Sciurus carolinensis (gray squirrel) is the source of this 6860-nucleotide RNA transcript. It is a transcript of the gene named polycomb group ring finger 5, with no coding region annotated. The transcript is spliced from 11 exons. The record is from RefSeq and is a predicted model, not a curated record. Lineage: Eukaryota; Metazoa; Chordata; Mammalia; Rodentia; Sciuridae.
GGGCCCGAGCCGAGUGGCCCCGCGGAGCCGGCGCGCUCCCGCCUGCAGGGGGAGGGCGGACGGGGCGCUGGGACCGGCCAGGCCGCGGCGGGCGCUGUUUCUCUUUCACUUUCCUUCGUUCAGAGGCCGUCGCGCUGUCGGGCGAGGAGCUGCGGUGGUGGCGGCUGGUUAUGGGAAAGCAGAGCUCCCGAAAGGAGUGAUGAUCAUCGAUCUCAUGAUAAAUCUGGAUAUUAGUUCUCAUGCAUCAGGACAUCCUAUUGGGAACACCACGCCAGCUCCUGGGAUCAGACUUUCAUCCACUUAGUACCCUUGUUUGUCUGAGCUACUAAAGCCAGCUAACUACGAAUGGCUACCCAAAGGAAACAUUUGGUGAAAGAUUUCAAUCCUUACAUUACCUGCUAUAUCUGUAAAGGGUAUCUGAUCAAGCCAACUACAGUAACAGAAUGUCUCCAUACCUUCUGUAAGACUUGCAUUGUCCAGCACUUUGAAGAUAGCAAUGAUUGUCCAAGGUGUGGCAACCAAGUUCAUGAGACAAAUCCAUUAGAAAUGUUGAGGUUGGAUAAUACAUUGGAGGAAAUUAUAUUUAAGCUGGUACCUGGACUACGAGAACAAGAACUUGAGCGUGAAUCAGAAUUUUGGAAGAAAAAUAAGCCUCAAGAAAAUGGGCAAGAUGAUACUUCAAAAGUUGAUAAACCUAAAGAAGAAGAAGAAGGUGAUGAAAAUCAAGAUGAUAAAGACUAUCAUAGAAGUGACCCACAAAUUGCUAUAUGUCUAGAUUGUUUACGAAAUAAUGGACAAUCAGGGGACAAUGUAGUAAAGGGUCUAAUGAAGAAAUUCAUUCGAUGUUCUACACGUGUAACUGUGGGAACUAUUAAAAAAUUUCUAAGUUUAAAACUAAAGCUUCCAAGUUCUUAUGAGUUGGAUGUGCUGUGCAAUGGUGAAAUUAUGGGGAAGGAUCAUACUAUGGAAUUCAUCUAUAUGACAAGAUGGCGACUAAGAGGAGAAAACGUUGAGUGAAGUUCCGUGCCCUACACAGAGCUCUGAUCUCACUGAACAGUGCUGCUUUCAGGGGUAGUUGAAGAGGAGACCUAGGAGAGACUGAUCGCAGGAAGGGAUGGAAGAAAGAGGGUGCCCUCAUGUACCAAGAGUUUCGGUGUCUGAACUGCUCAGCUACGCAAGUCUGCUCUCAGGAUGGCCCUUUGUAUCAGUCAUACCCUAUGGUAUUGCAGUAUCGACCAAGAAUUGAUUUCGGUUAGACCAAGGGGCCUAGAUUUCACUGAAAUGAAUCCUGCACUAUUUGUUUACUCGUCGACAGAUUGCACAGUGAACGGUGUGUGGACUAGAGGGACACAAUCAGAUUCUCAGCAUGCAAAUAAGGCCAUUGUCUGUCUCUAAAAUUGUCAGUUACAUUCAUGUUGUUUCUCUUAAGAGCAAACCAAGUGCCAUUCUGCUACUGAACCAUCUGCAUAAGGUAUUUGUGCUGUCUCACAGUGUGCACGUCAUGGCUGGAAUCAGUUAGGUGUGCAGCCAUGAUUCAUUCUUCUGAAUAUUUUGCUUGCCUGUUCCAAGAUUGUUCAAAUGUUUAAUUACACUAGUAAAAUGGCUCAAUCUUUGUGGUGUUGCAGUUUUCACAUACUUAACUAUUUUAUUAAUUCUCGUUUAAAUAGGGUACUAUACAAGAACCUAAUAAUUAUAUCUUGAAAUUAUUUUGUAUGGAACUGUAUUUAGAAAAGUGGUUUCUGAACCACUGUCCUAUUCUUGGUAAGCUUUUUGUGUAAGAAAUAGUUCAUUCUUGAGUGUGCAAGUCCUUUUGUGAAGAAUUCCAGUUAUUCUUUAACAUUGGAGCACAUCAUAAUUGUAGGCAUUCUAAGCAUCUCUCUGUGUAGUCUACCAAUUUGCACAAGGAAGGCACAUUAGCCCUCCAGAUCAGAAAUGUAGGUGACUUCUUGGACAACCUAAGUUAGAUUCAAAACCAUUCACAAUGUUGGCAGCUGAUCACAUUUACUUCUAAUAAAAUUAAUGUGUAAGUAAGGUUAAUCGUUCAUAAUGCCUUAUGACAAGCGGGUGCUGCUUCAUGAAACUUCAUUGUAUAGCCCAUUUUAUGUAUGUAUCAUUACUUUGUUGCUGUCGUUUAACGAAUGCUUUGUUUUUCUUUUUAAGUUGGCCUUAGGUGUGUGGCAUUGUGGCAUGCAGAGGGUUAUGUAUGAUGAUUUUAAACGUUAGGAUUUUUAGAGCAGAUAACAUUUUAUGGCUUCAAAAUUCUCAAAAACAGUUAUAGGUUCAAACUGUUAGUUACCUAUCACAUUUCCAAACCAUAUGCAUCAAAUAGAUUAAAUACAGUGUAGUGGAUAAACAUGCUAACCAAAAUUAAUGGUUUAAGGAUAUUUUCUUUUAGAUACUAUAGCAAUGGGUGGGGGUGGGAUUAUUGUUUUAUACAUGAAUUCAUUAAAGGUCAGAACUAUGAUGAUGUCAUUGAUUUUGCAGUUUUGUUAUAAGUCUUCCAUUCAUUACAGUUUAGUCUGCAAGUCAAAGUCUUUUUACCUUAAAUUAGAUGAAAAACUUCAUUUUAAAGCUUUUAAAAUCCCCAGUUGUUUUCACAAAACCUCCUUGGAAAUUGUUUUAUCAGUAGCUUUGAAACAACCUUGCAAUUUAGGACAAAAUCUUGGAGAUUAGGAGAAAUUACUUGUGUAAUCUAACAUGAGCACAAUCUAUGUGUUACAUACAUAGUUUUUAUAUUGUAUACAUGGUAGUUGUGCUACAUUUUCCAGUAAAAUGUAUCACAGUUAACACCUUCUGAAUAGAAAUAAAACAUUGUACAACUCUAAGAAAUAUACAAAAUACAUCUCAACAUUGAUGCAUUUCACAAAGUAAAAGCUUAAAGUUAAUGAUACCCUUUACGUAUAUGUUUUAUCAAGUCCAAAAGUCUGUAUUAAAGUUUUCUGUUUUUGUUCUGACUUUGGUGAAGAAGUUUACAGCAGUACUAUCUUAGCUUCAUUUUGUUGGAUUAUGUGUGUUCUUGGAAAGGGUUUAUAAGCAGAAUUUAUAAGGCAGUUUUUAUUAACUAUCAAUGCUUGGAAAAGACCAUUACACUCCACCAAAAACUGAAUUUUGUUAUCCAGUUACAGAAAUUAUUUUGCUGUACUGUGAAACCUAGUUCCUAAAUAUCCUUGAGAAUUUUUUUAAAUUAUUAUAAAAGUGUCACAUCUAGAUUAAUGAUUUAAAACAAGUGUCUUACAUAUGGAAGUUAAUUAACUUAAAUGAAUUAAGAGUACAUUUUGAAAACCACAAAUGAGACUUGGAUGUUUUGGCUCCACAACCAAAACUUACGGCCAUAAACUAGUUUUAUAUACAAGAUCUCUUUAAAUUUGACCCUUGCCUGAUCAUAUGUAAUUUCACUAUAUUCCAAGGAAAUAUAUAGGAAACAAUUAUGGAAUUGAGAAUAGGUGUAUAUAAAAUUGUUUAAUGUUAAAGCACUGACAUUUUUAUUGAAAUGCAAUAGAAUUUGUGCCAAAACAUGUUAAAAAAAACUUACAUAAAGAAGGACAUCAAUUGUUAAUUGGACAAAGGUUCACAUUUGUUGGUGGUCCUGAGUAAUGUGGUAUUGCCACUAGAGCCUAGACUUCUUCAGCUGACCUCUUGGUGUGUCAUCUAUAAGUUUCUAAGAAUGGGACUGCUCUCAUGUCCAGUAAUACACUAAAUUCCCAGUUAAUUAUCACUUACAUCAGGUCACAGAAUUUGCAGGCAGGCAGGUAUGGAAAAAAUGUACAGGCACCUUUUAUGGUUAGCUUUAUAAAAUAAGGUGCUAAUAAAACAAAUGCUUCAUAUUAAUAACCUAUAGGAAUAAUAUUCUGAAUCUGUAAAAUCAGAGAAUAACCCUAGAUUUACACUUUAAUCUGUUGUUUCUUAAGCAAUAAACUGAAAAAAAAAACCUUUAUUUCCAUAAAAGAUUUUGUUAUCUGUUUAAUCUGCCUUAAAUAUCAGAUAUAAAAGGGUCAAGGAAUCUUGGAUAUAAAGAAUGUCCGUGGUUUAUAAGUGACAUGUUAAUUGAAGUAAUCACAUCAGUUAAUAGAGAAAUCAAAAUAUGACCUUCUUUCUAGAUUAACAAAACUCCUAAGAUGCAUGAAAAAAUAAACUAAAACGCUCACUGAUGAGGUAAUAUUCAGUCUUGGAUUUGGGUUACAUCCUUUAACUACUUUUAGAAAAGCGUAUUAUUUCUUGUUGAACAUCUAUCCCAAACUAAUAUGCCACAUUUUAUAAAUGUAAUGGGUUUGCUAAACUAUAUUAUAUACUCAAAUGUUACCUAAAUUUGAAGUGAUUCUUUAAGGAAAAAAAUAUGCUAUGUAAUAUUGUUUAGCUUUAUCGAAUAUUUAAGAGAAAGUGCCUCAUUGCUGAAGUGCAUUUCUGUUUUAGAUUUAUUGCAUCAAUUUUGAGUUAUCUGUAUGUCUCUCAUGAAUUGUUUCAUAUCUAAAUAGGCACUUGUAAGUUAAUCUCUUUUUAAAGAUUUUCAUAAGAAUAUAGAUAUCACCAAAGACAUUUUACUGUUAAUUAAUAAUUGUGUUGGAGAAACCAUUUUAACAGCUUAGAGGUUGGAAGUUUUUAGGUAGCAACUUAAUUUUGUAUAGUUAGGCAAUAACCUUGAUUAAUUGUUAAAACAUCACCAAAGAAAGGCUUUAAACUGAAUUUUCUUGGUGAGAAGGGUCAAAUGCAGGUUUUUCUUGCAAUAAUCAGAGCACACUUCCUUUCAAGUGUUUUCACUGUUUUUAAGCACCAUCUGAACAGAUUUUAGGUAUCCUCAAACAUGAGAAAGAGAUAAACAUGUUUUUCUAAAUGAAAUAUGGGAGAAAUACUUUUAAAAGAACAUUGAAAUUAUGAUUUUAAAUUUUAUUUAAAAGUCUUUCAUUCCAUGGAGGCAGUAUAAAAUAAAUUAUACUUAUUUAGUUCCCAGAAUCUUAAUAAUAUGAGAAAUUUUAUUCGAGAGACUUUGGUAAAAAUAUUGACAUCCUUACUUAUGAAGAAGAUAGUACAUUUUUCUAGAUUUACAUAAGUGCUUUUUGUAUAUUCAGAAGCAAAAUUUUCAUAAGGGCCUGUUUUGUUUUCUUAAAAAGUAGCUCUUUUUGUCUUAUUUCUCAGCAGUAACUUUAUUAAAACUUAGCCAUACAAGAGCAUCUGCAUACAUCAAGAGAGAUGUACUGUUAUGCCAUUUCUCCUCCAGAGUCAUUCUGUGUUGCACCUUUAAGGUAAAAUUCAUUUUAUGAAGUCUGUCUGAUGGGUCACUAGGUAAACCUCCUCAAAUAGGUUAAAUGUGAACGCACACUCUAUUAUGUACUCUGGUCUAUCAUACAGAAUCUUCCAGCAGCUAAGCUUUAUACCAGAUGUUGAUUGGUUGUAGGAAUUUUUAAAAUGACUGCAUUUGCCAUAACUUUUCUUUUCUGGAUUUGAAACACAAAAACUUGAAAUACUGUUAUCAUUAUUUUAAGAUAUACAACCCUAUAAUUUGGAGAGCAAUAAAGAAUGUAACACAUCUGCUAGAUCUGGUUUUGAAAAACAUUAAAUACACUAAAGACUCUGAAGCCCUUUCAAAGCACAAGAUAACCAACUGUGUCUGGAUUUACUUGAUAUACGUAGUUCAGUAAUAUUUUGGUGGAAAACAUAAGAUAAAGUUUAUUAAAAUGUACUUAAAUAUACAGUACAGGGUUUUCCUAGUGUUGGGUUUUUAAAAAGCAGUGGUGGUUUUCCAGUAAUUUAAAAGUGAUUCUUUUCUUAUGACACAGUUUUCACAGAUAGUGUUAAUUUGCUGUCCUUAUCAUAUUUUCAAAUAGAAUUCAAAUGCUUGAGCACUUCCUCUUCAGAAAGUUAUAAAAUUAAACUUAAAAAUAAUUUAAUUACUUCAAAUGCUUAUGCAAAUAUGUCUGUAUAGUUGUUAUGUCCCUUUUUCGAUGAUUCAGAACUGAGACUUUCAGAAAUGCUUAGUUUUGAAAUCUAGAAUCAAGUGAAACAUACAUGUUUAAUAUACUAGAUCUAGUUUUCUUCCAUCUUACAGAACUUCGUGGAAUAAGCAACUAAUCUAGUACAAAUGAAGAUUAACUAUUUCUGGGUUUUGUAGAGAUAGUAAACAGUUUAAUUUAUUUAUCCAUACACUUCACAUCAAUCCACUGGAGCAGGAGUUCUACACAUUAAAAUGUAAUGGGAUCAGCCUAACAUUGUUUGAGAUCAGUUUUCUUUUGCUGUAUUUUUUAGAAUGGGGUUGGGGGCCUAAGUGUCCUUAUGAAGCUGUGGUCCAGGACAAGAGCUUGUGGGGGGAGUAUCAAUGUUCCGCUGCUUUCCUGCAUCUGGCAACACAACAGCGAUCAUCCGUUUAUAUUAGGGUAGCCCUCACAAUAAAUAAAGCUAUCAUAGAAUAUAUUGUAAAGUUAUGUUGCUAAUUUUACUUUGAAAUAUGAAAUAUUUUAAGCUUUUUGUCAAAAGUGGUAACAUCUUAAUACAAAUAAAAACCUUUUUGUGGUUGUAAGAUUUAGCUUAUAAAUCAUUCAAAUUGAAGUGAAAGAAUUACCAGGUCAUUGUUAAUGACUUAGUCUAUUAAGAAUAUAUGUAUUUUUGUAAAGGAAAAGCACUUGUAGAUAUUUAAUCAGUACAAGAUAUAUGUCUGUUUUGCAGAAAUAAAAUGCUGCUUAGAGAUUCUCUUUAAAUAUUUUUUAUUUUUGUGCUCAAAUGUAUUUUCUGUUGAUCUAUGGAAUGUUCUGUACAAAGCUGUAUGAUUGUACUGUUGGGCUAGAUACAUUUUUUUUUUAAUCUGAACUUAGCCAAGUAUAUUUGACCAUGUUAAAAAUAGUAUCUUUGUUAUUAAAAUUUUGAUUGCAUAA